CCCUUAGAUGUUCUGGGCCGCACGCGCGCUACACUGAUGUAUUCAACGAGUCUAUAGCCUUGGCCGAUAGGCCCGGGUAAUCUUUGAAAUUUCAUCGUGAUGGGGAUAGAUCAUUGCAAUUGUUGGCCUUCAACGAGGAAUGCCUAGUAGGCACAAGUCAUCAGCUUGUGCCGAUUACGUCCCUGCCCUUUGUACACACCGCCCGUCGCUACUACCGAUUGAAUGGCUCAGUGAGGCAUUCGGACUGGCCCAGGGAGGUUGGCAACGACCACCCAGGGCCGGAAAGUUGGUCAAACUUGGUCAUUUAGAGGAAGUAAAAGUCGUAACA
This 328-nucleotide ribosomal RNA is filed under the name uncultured eukaryote. RNAcentral's name for it is "partial 18S ribosomal RNA". It matches the Rfam family "Eukaryotic small subunit ribosomal RNA", at positions 1470 to 1796 of the family's 1831-position model. The record is from RNAcentral.